This is a long non-coding RNA of Orbicella faveolata, 810 nucleotides long. RefSeq lists it as uncharacterized. The record is from RefSeq and is a predicted model, not a curated record. Lineage: Eukaryota; Metazoa; Cnidaria; Anthozoa; Scleractinia; Merulinidae.
AUCUUAUCUUGAUGCCAUUCAAUCUGUCCGAUAGUUUAAAUACAAGCGUUUGAUUCCUAGGGAAGUACUCUUGUAUAUACGCGUAUGCUUUCUGACCAGAAAGGUUUCACGAAAGACUAGCAUAUCUAAACAAAGAUGAAACUAUCCUCCACGCUCUCUGCAGUCAUGAUAUUUGGGAUUAUUUCCCUGUCUUCCGCCAAUCGGAUUCCUCCCCAUCAGCUGUCAUGUGUGACUUAUUGUGGGAACUAUGAAAAGCAUUGUGACCUGCAGCUGGACUGUCCCUUAGACUCGUGCGACAUUGGUGAUCGUGAUUGCUUCUUUAAUGAAUGUAUGACUUAUUUGGGCUGCCAUAUCCAACGGAAAAGAGAAAAAAGUGACGCUAUUGUGGAGGCAAUCUGAGGAUCAAAAGCUUUAGAAAAAGAAAACAAUUAUUUCUGAAAGUUGAACAGGUUUACUUUCGAAGGAGUAUUUUUGUUGAAAGGAAUAAUUCAAAAAGUCUUGUUCCUUCACUUUGUAUGAUUCCCUCCUGUGAUGUAAUAGUAAUAUUUGUUUUGAUAAAUUAUAUAUACGGAUGGCUGAAAUGCGGAAUGAUCAUGCAUGUUAAAUAGAAUAAAUAAAUGGAUUGCAAUGCACGAAAAAGCGAAGAGUUUUAGCAAUAUGACAUCUUAACUAAACUAUGCUGAUUAACCGUGUUAAAUAGAACAAAACUUGGCUUGCAAUGCACGAAAAAGCGAAGAAGUUUAGCAAUUUGACAUCUUUAAUACUUGCUUUCAGAAAACGGCAGAAUAAGCAAAGCAGAACAGAACUGAA